RNAcentral lists this ribosomal RNA (368 nucleotides) under uncultured organism. RNAcentral describes it as "bacterial SSU rRNA". It matches the Rfam family "Bacterial small subunit ribosomal RNA", at positions 526 to 896 of the family's 1533-position model. The record is from RNAcentral.
CGGAGGGUGCAAGCGUUAUCCGGAUUUACUGGGUUUAAAGGGUGUGUAGGCGGGCCUUUAAGUCAGUGGUGAAAUCUCCGGGCUCAACCUGGAAACUGCCAUUGAUACUAUUGGUCUUGAAUUCUGUUGAGGUGGGCGGAAUAUGUCAUGUAGCGGUGAAAUGCAUAGAUAUGACAUAGAACACCAAUUGCGAAGGCAGCUCACUAAGCAGACAUUGACGCUGAGGCACGAAAGCGUGGGGAUCAAACAGGAUUAGAUACCCUGGUAGUCCACGCCCUAAACGAUGAUUACUCGACAUACGCGAAACACUGUGUGUGUCUGAGCGAAAGCAUUAAGUAAUCCACCUGGGAAGUACGACCGCAAGGUUG